Molecule: ribosomal RNA, 253 nt
Filed under: uncultured bacterium
Lineage: Bacteria
Description: partial 16S ribosomal RNA
Rfam family: Bacterial small subunit ribosomal RNA
Source: RNAcentral
UACAGAGGUCCCAAGCGUUGUUCGGAUUCACUGGGCGUAAAGGGUGCGUAGGUGGCCAGGUAAGUUCGGUGUGAAAGCUCGGAGCUUAACUCCGAAAUGUCAUUGAAUACUAUCUGGCUGGAGGGUCGGAGGGGAGACUGGAAUUCUCGGUGUAGCAGUGAAAUGCGUAGAUAUCGAGAGGAACACCAGUGGCGAAGGCGGCUUGCCAGAACGCACUCGACGGUGAGGGAUGAAAGCUGGGGGAGCAAACCGG